CAGCCGCCGCGGUAAUACGUAGGUGGCAAGCGUUGUCCGGAAUUAUUGGGCGUAAAGGGCUCGCAGGCGGUUUCUUAAGUCUGAUGUGAAAGCCCCCGGCUCAACCGGGGAGGGUCAUUGGAAACUGGGAAACUUGAGUGCAGAAGAGGAGAGUGGAAUUCCACGUGUAGCGGUGAAAUGCGUAGAGAUGUGGAGGAACACCAGUGGCGAAGGCGACUCUCUGGUCUGUAACUGACGCUGAGGAGCGAAAGCGUGGGGAGCGAACAGGAUUAGAGACCCCAGUAGUCCCUGUCUCUUAUAA
Molecule: ribosomal RNA, 301 nt
Filed under: uncultured bacterium
Lineage: Bacteria
Description: partial 16S ribosomal RNA
Rfam family: Bacterial small subunit ribosomal RNA
Source: RNAcentral